RNAcentral lists this long non-coding RNA (1382 nucleotides) under Prunus persica (peach). Its description in RNAcentral is "long non-coding RNA (PPER_LNC001210)". The record is from RNAcentral. Lineage: Eukaryota; Viridiplantae; Streptophyta; Magnoliopsida; Rosales; Rosaceae.
UUUCGUCCGCAGUUUCUUGAGAUCUCUUUGAUAAAUGACAGCAAGGACAUGAAGGAAUUUUGCAGUGCACAUUCUCAAAGCCUUUAUGGCAGAUAGCAGCGGAAUGGGACUUUGAACUUUGAUAGGAAAUCUGUCAUCAAUUUGGUGCCCCAUGACUGUUAUUUUAAAGGUCGACUUCUGUGUAAUGCCCAGGAAACGUCAUUUGCAGAGGCUUGUUUAAUUAAACUUUGCAUAAGAUCUUUGAGUUUUGAACAGCAAGGGAAUAUACUGCACAGAGAAACAUGACGAAAUUUUCUGGGAGAAGAAAUAAACUUUAUACCUUGCCUUCCUUCUGCUCUUUUCUUUCUCUUCCUCCUUGAUCAGAAUCCCAGCAACCUCUUUGUUUUCUCUCUAGACUUUUCUUUCCUGCAGCAGCUUUUAUUUUUGCCUCGUUCAGACUUCUCGCCCCUUAUGUGCAGCCAUUUGGUUUCUUUCUGCUCCUGCCUCUUUUUGCCUCCGUUUUUGCCUUUUUUUCCUGCAGCACCUCCUUCCUUUUUUCUUUUUUUUUUUAACCUCUGUACGUUCAUGUCUUUUAUAGGCAAAAGAUGAAUAGCAGUUGGGAAGCACGUUUGCUAAGUGGGCGGCCUCUCUGCUGAAUGGAGUUGCAGAGGAUAAACACGAUCUCUUCCCACCUUUUAUUUUUUAUUUGUUUUAUUUUAUAUUUCUUUUGAAAACUGACCUUAUCUCCUUUUUAAAUUCUAGAAGGAAUAAUCAGCAGCCUUAAAUAUCAACCUUCAUGUCUUGGGCUUUUAUCCUGGGCCUCUUUCCUUAUCAUGUAAUUUUUUGUGAUCAACAGAGACCAAACUAAUCCUGUUGCAAACCAGUAAGGCGGUGUAAACAUGAGGAAUCAAUAUGCUGAACAAGAUGAACAAUGAGAGUCCAGUUCAAUGAUAAUGUUGAUAGAUAGGGUAGGCAAAUAGGAAUGGAAAGGAAAUCAUUUUUGGAAGUUUUUUUUUUUUUUUUUUUUUUCAGGGUUUGGGGUGUUUUGAAAUUAUGGUAAAGUGGUAAGGGUAUUUUUGGAAGUUAAUUAAGGGAAAACAAGAAUGAGAAUCGUAUUGACUACCCUUCUCUAGUUGAUCUGAUACCUAGUUUUGAGGGGAUAUAAUUACAGAUUUUGAGGUGGGGCCCACUUAUUUUUUAAUUCCAGAUUGCAAGUAAACGCAGGAGAAAUCAGGAAUGGAAAUCAUUCCCUUUCCUCUCAUACCCAUUACUAACAUGUAAACAUUAUAUCUUAAAUAAUAAAUUGAGCUUAGACCCAUAAAAUUCAUUUUGAAUCACCUACAACCCUUUCCUUUAGUUUUCUAUUUAAAAUACCCAAUUUUUUUAAAUAAUACCCGAUGACU